GGCUGGGGGAGGAGACUGUCAUUUUAAAUGGCUUAGUCAGGGAAAGUGACAUUUGAGCAAAGGCUUGAAGUCGGGGAGGGCUCUCUGACAUCCACUCGAUGGAUGGUCGAAUGCUCAAGCAUCUACCAAGAGCUUGGAAUGUGCUCCUGUGCUCACAGAAGAGCAUCUGGGGCUGACAGAGGGGGACCAUGGAGGAGAUGAGCCCCCGUGCAGCGCUUGUACCGGAAACGAGUGGCCUGAGCCCAGGGACAAGGAAACCGAGAAGCGAAUCCCGAGAGCCGGUGUCUGCUGGUCACCGGCCCGGAGCCAUCAAAGGAAUCACGGGCAGUGACUAGACUGGGCGAUUCCAGAGAUGCAUCCCAGCCCAGCCAGUGUGUGAACCUCGGGCACAUCCUGGUCGAAUGGACAAUGACAGCAUGUGGGAGAAAGCCUUUUUUGGAAAGCCAAACUGAACGCUGGAGUAUCUGAGGGAGAUGCACCCUGGGCUAUUUGGAGUGAACUGUCAUAAUGUCUGCAACUUACUUUGACAUGGCCAAACGUCUCCAUUCUGGUCGAUGGGCAUCUGAGUGUCCCUUGUGCCUCUCCUUCACCUUCUCUCUCUGUUUUAAUCUUUUUACAAUAAAAAGUUGAGAAAGCCGGCAAGAUCCAAGUUCCAUUUUUUCCCCCAGGGGAAGCCUGUUUACAGGUCUGAGUUCCCCUUUGGCCUGGGAAGUCUCGGUGGCCACAGCCAGGGGCCGGUCACCAGAGGCCGGGGCCAGGCAGCUUCCUGUGGCCUAGAAUCAAUGCCCUCACCAGAUGUCUCGCUAACUGCUAACCAGGGCUAAAUAUAGGUUAGAGUAGGAACCUACCAAUUAUACAU
Molecule: long non-coding RNA, 859 nt
Organism: Ailuropoda melanoleuca (giant panda)
Lineage: Eukaryota; Metazoa; Chordata; Mammalia; Carnivora; Ursidae
Exons: 4
Source: RefSeq, a predicted model, not a curated record